Molecule: long non-coding RNA, 497 nt
Filed under: Lynx pardinus (Iberian lynx)
Lineage: Eukaryota; Metazoa; Chordata; Mammalia; Carnivora; Felidae
Source: RNAcentral
UGUAAAAGCAGCACGUUUGUGGCUUUUUUAACUUUAGUAUUCUUCUUCACCCUCUCCUUCGACAGAAUCCACACCAACCUCCUCAUAAUCCCUCUCAAGGACAGCCAAGUCCUCGUGGGCCUCAGAACACUCUCCUCCCUCCAUGCCCUCACCCACAUACCAGUGAACAAAGGCACGCUUGGCAUACAUCAGGCCAAACUUGUGGUCCAGGUGAGCCCAGGCCUCAGCAAUGGCUGUGGUGUUGCUCACCGUGCACACAGUUCGCUGUACUUUGGCCAGGUCUCUACCAGAUACCACAGUGGGAGGGUGGUAAUUAAUGCCAACUUUGAAGCCAGUAGGGCACCAGUCCACAAAUGGCACGGUAUGCUUGGUCUUGCUGGUGGCAGUGGCAGCAUUGACCUCUUUGGGAACCACGUGGCCACAGUACAACAGGCAGCAAGCCAUGUAUUUACCAUGGCAAGGGUCACAUUUCACUGUCUGCUUGGCUGGCUCAAAAC